This is a long non-coding RNA of Olea europaea var. sylvestris, 258 nucleotides long. RefSeq lists it as uncharacterized. NCBI's taxonomy places the organism in Eukaryota, Viridiplantae, Streptophyta, Magnoliopsida, Lamiales, Oleaceae. The record is from RefSeq and is a predicted model, not a curated record. The transcript has 3 exons.
GAGAAAACGAGUGAAGGGUCGAGAGAGACCGAGAGGAGAAGAAGAAGAAGAAGAGUUCAAGCUAGAGUUCUCAACUUCUUCAAAUUCUCUUUUGAUUUAGAAUGGAAAAUACUCAAGGCUCAUUUAUGAAGGGAUAUGAUUUAUUGUAGCAAGAGCGUAAUAACAUUCUUGGUAUUGAAAGUGAGGAGGCAACGAGAAGAUCGAAACAAUGAUCAACUAUUACUUGAUUGAUGAAAAUGGAGAAAACUAGAGCUAAAA